This 124-nucleotide small RNA is filed under the name Marmota monax (woodchuck). The record is from RNAcentral. Lineage: Eukaryota; Metazoa; Chordata; Mammalia; Rodentia; Sciuridae.
GCUGGGUCUGGUGGUGCAGGCCUGUAAUCCCAGCAGCUUAGGAGGCUGAGGCAGGAAGAUCAUGAGUUCAAAGCCAGCCUUAUCAAAGCAAGGUGUUAAGCAACUCAGUGAGACCCUGUCUCUA